AAGUCUUCUCCCAACCCCCACCUGCGGUUUAAUGAGAAAGGCCACUGACGUUGGCGGGGCUUGAGUCCUUAGGGGCGGAGUCCAAAAUGUAGGUGACUGGGAUUGACUAGAGCUGCAAUUAAUAAAAGUGUCCUGAUAAAGUUUGAUCCGAGCAUAAAUGUCGUCUGUGGAUGACAGAGGGAACGAAUUAAAAACAAAUUCUUUGUCACUGCUGUCAUCAAACGUGGGCGGGGGAACGUAAUCGGAGGGCGUCAACGUAGUGACGUAAUAGCUGCUGUCCUGUGAUUGACAGGCCAGCCGGAGGAGUCUUUAGAGAAUAGAACAGAGGAUUUACCAGACACCUGAGGGGAAUGUCGGGCUGCUUGAAGCUGGCUGUGUACCGGAGAGAAGGCUUGCAGGGUUGGAGCGUCUCUGUCGCGAGGUGAAGCCUUCCAAUGUGACUUCCGCCUUCGAUGACGCGAGCGAGCGGGGUGAGAGGGGAGAUCACCAGGCCAGACGUAGUCGAGCGGGACCAGGAAUGCUCCAGGCCCCCACAUGUCCUCGUCUGGCGAACAGCGGAGCGUCUCUUUCUCCAUUGCUCGGAGUACAGCCCACGUACCUUGGUCGACCUCUGAAAAGCUUGCAGCGAGAAAACUCUUUUCUGCUUGCUUCCUACUGUGAUGAUUGCGUGGUAUCAUGAUGCGGGGUCGUUCUCUCAGAGAUGCAGUCGGGCUUCAGACACAGCGGGAAGGGCAAGCUUCCUUCCUUGCUCAUUCUUCAUGAACAGCUCCACCAUCAGGACCUUUUCCUUGUGCAUCUGCAGGCUGAUGUCCUUUGGUAUGUCUGCGAUCAACCAAUCAAUAAAGUCACUCAUGACUAUCACCACAUUCUGUGAGGAAACAACAAUGGAAAGCAUCAUGAGACAUCACUAAAUAUACCAAAAUGUACACACAGUGAUUGAUCAACGGAUGCUAAAAAUGCGUAACAGUAGUUUGAGAAUAAUUGAUGUUGGCCACAAGGAAGUUUUUUCAAUGCAGAAAAAUAAUCUUAAUAUGACCCAUUUUUAAAAAUAGACAUUACUGAUCAUCAGUCUUCACUAUAAUGUCACAUUAGUCACUUGAUUAACAUACACAUCAACCGAAUGUCCUGUGAGAUGACCGCCGGCUGGUGUGAGUUAAGUAUGGAAAAAAAAGACAGGCAGGAAACAUUUUUUAUUAGACACAGACUAUCUCUCCCAAACACUUGCCGUUAAAUAUGUAAAGACUGACCGCAUAGUUCCUGUCUUCACAAUAAAAGUGCUGCUCCAUGCUGCCUGCGAUAAUAAAAUAAGGGUCUCAGAAAACUGGCUUGUACACUCAUGCUUAUUAUGUAUCUACUUAAGAAAGUGACAGUUUUAAUUUCAGGAGGUGGAUCAACAACCCAAACACCAAAACAAUCUAACUAGAUUUCAAACCCAGGACAAAAGAUUACAUGUUGAAGUGAGUUUGUAAUAAAUAUCAAAAUGACAUUUUUCAGCAGAAUCACCAAGAACCCGGGUGAAGAAUACUAAGAAAGACUAAAACAGUUUGAGGUCAAUUUUCAAAAACCUGUGCAGUCUGAGGAGUUUUUGAAUAGGAUUUGAUUUUUAUAACAAAAAUACAUUUUGAGCUUGUGUUGAUUAUUGUUUUACUACACAACACAUUUACACACACACACACACACACACACACACACACACACACACACACACACACACACACACACACACACACACACACACACACACACACACACACGCAAACACUCACACACAUGUUACAUGAUUUGAGUAUCUUACUAACUUCAUUCAAGAGUAGCCUCCAAACUAGAGAGGGCACCAACACAACAGUUCUUUAAAGAAAUUCAUUCAAACUUAAGUUGGAAACUAUGAUACUCAAUCCUCCUCUUCUAACUCAAAACAAUGUUUAUAAAUUGUUAUUAAUUGAUUAAUAAGGAUAUUCAUACCGAACAACCUUAUUAUUCAUUCAUACUCAAAAAUUAAUCUUAAAAACACUUAUCAUAAUAUUUGAUGAAUAAUUCACAUAAAAAAUAAAUACUUCUGGCCCCGCAAUUGACAGCCUCAUGCUUGAUAGAGCAGGGAAAUGUUGACAAUGACAGGUGUUGUAACUCUGAAAGGUUUUCUGCACACUACAUUAGUUGUUUCAAAAUUGAAUUAGCAAAUAAGUUUGAAUAAUUUCAACCAGGAUGUGAAAUGUAAAACAUUUAGAGGGCAUGAAGUAAAGUAAAGGUUAGUAUUGCACCCUGAAAGUAACAAAUAAACUAUAUGAUUUAGCUCAUUAUUGGGUUCAGUGUGGUGCAAAAAAUACACACUUUAUAAUCAUGGUUGAGGUGUGAUGACACCAUCAAUAAAAACUACACAAAUAUGAUCAUGGUUUGUGAUGAGAUCAUCAACAAAGCAAAAUAGAGGUGAGUUGGGCAAGAGACUAAAAUGCUUUCAGCUUUAAACACUGCAUUAAAAGAAUGUAAUAAUCCUAUAAUGGGAUGUUAACAAAAUAUUAAGUUCCUGUCAUUUUGAAAUAAAUUAUACUUCGAUGUUCUUAAAUAUCUACAAUACAUGUACAUUAUUUUAUCAAUAAGGCUACCCCAAUCCAUAGUUUAUUCUAAUUAUUUCUGCAUAGUGAUUACUAAAAAACAGUAUUUAUUUACAUGCAUAUUAAUUGUUUAAAUCACCUUUUGUUUGCAUUAGUGAAUUGAUUAUAUCACAUUAUUUGCGCUGGAAAUAGCUUUACUUCCUUGUGGCCACCGUUGUGGGCGUUCCAUUAGAGAUAUAUUUGUUUUCUUCUGUUAUUUCUUAUUGAAGGCAGUGUCACAAAUCACAAGCUCCAUCGGUCUUAAAUUGACUCAGCAGCAUCACCUCUUGUGUAAGAGUGCAAACUAAGAGAAACAAAAAAUUGCAAAAGUGGAAAAAAAUGUGCCCAAAGUGUAAACGUGAAGAACAUUUUUUUUCCACUUGCAAAUCUUUUAGUAUUUGUGAAUUUAUUUUGAGUUUGUGAAACAUUUUAUUGAGUUUGUGGAGUUUUGGCAGUCAUUUCACUCCAACAGUCGCUGUGUUUGCAACCAGCUCCACAGUGCUGGCAAACAGGGGCGGAGCUAGAGGGGAGGCCAGGGUAGCACUGGACCCCCUGAAAUCUGAUUGGACCCCCCAGGUACCACCCCAGAUGAUUGACAUCUGUCCUUCCGCACGUCUUGUCGGAAGGAGCCAGUUGCAUUUUUAAAUCAGUGAAGCCUAUUGACUGCUAAGUCCCUCCCGUACAGUAGUUGGCGCUAUGUACCACAAAGCCUUGCAAGCCACGUUCAUUAGGGGAGAAGAAGAAUCGCCACUGAAGAAGAGGAAGAUUUAAAUUGGAGUCGCUUAUCGUAGCUGGAGACCGGAGAGCCGGAGAUUAACGAAGCUACAAAGAAAAAGAUGGAUACUUUACGACGAGAAGGGUCAGUUGAGAAUGAAAAGGCAGGGGGAGAAGAUUUAUGACCUCUUUUUAAAAAGAAGCAAGUCAGGGUCAGGAAAAGAUGAGGCAGAAAAACAGCCAGGAUUCAGGUCUGCCAGCAGUCUUGGCACUCCCAUCCUGGGACGACUCAGGAGGAGAGAGAAUGUGAUGCACACAGGCCAUCAUCACCAGUUCCAUUAGACACAGAAGAAAAAGAUGGCAGCUCCCUUCCUGGGACUAGUCGGGAGAGAGAACUCACAACACAGCACAGCCCAUCUUCACCAGGUCAGAGCAUGGACAGAAACAGUCACAUGCUCAGUUCAGUAAUUAAGUUGCCAAGUUGUGUUUGACAUUUUCUGCAUUGUUAAUAAACUGCAAAUUAUAUAUAUAUAAAUCUCAUCUCCUGUGUGCUUAGUAUGUACAUUUCAACAUUUGCCGCCCCAAUUGCAAUUGAUAAGUCAAGAAAAAAAUUGUUAUAGUCUGUGGACCCCCUGAAAUAGCCUUGGCCACCCCCUGGCCACCCAAAGGAUAAAAGUCUAGCUCUGCCACUGCUGGCAAACAAUAGCAGUUGAGAAAAGAAAGGAACUGUUGUUAAUGUUUAAUUACUGUGUCUCUGCAACGCGACAAUUUGUCUGGAUGUGGACACCAAUGCAGUUUUACCGUGCAUUUAAGGGUUUCGGGAAACGAGC
Nerophis ophidion (straightnose pipefish) is the source of this 4132-nucleotide long non-coding RNA. RefSeq lists it as uncharacterized. Lineage: Eukaryota; Metazoa; Chordata; Actinopteri; Syngnathiformes; Syngnathidae. The transcript is spliced from 4 exons. The record is from RefSeq and is a predicted model, not a curated record.